AUUGAACGCUGGCGGCAGGCCUAACACAUGCAAGUCGAGCGGAGCAGCGGACGGGUGCGUAAUGCCUAGGAAUCUGCCUGGUAGUGGGGGAUGACGUCCAGAAACGGACGCUAAUAUCGCAUACUAUCAGAUUCGCAUAGAUCGGAUUAGCUAGUGGGUGGGGUAAAGGCCUACCAAGGCCACGAUCCGUAACUGGUCUGAGAGGAUGAUCAGUCACACUGGAACUGAGACACGGUCCAGACUCCUACGGGAGGCAGCAGUGGGGAAUAUUGGACAAUGGGCGCAAGCCUGAUGCAGCCAUGCCGCGUGUGUGAAGAAGGUCUUCGGAUUGUAAAGCACUUUAAGUUGGGAGGCGUUACCAACAGAAUAAGCACCGGCUAACUCCGUGCCAGCAGCCGCGGUAAUAC
This 407-nucleotide ribosomal RNA is filed under the name uncultured bacterium. RNAcentral's name for it is "partial 16S ribosomal RNA". It matches the Rfam family "Bacterial small subunit ribosomal RNA", at positions 30 to 526 of the family's 1533-position model. The record is from RNAcentral.